GGGGAUGGAAGUAGGGGAUGCUGAUGGAUGGGCCUCUCUAGCCAAUACCCAACCAGCUGGGGGGAGUUGGGGAGGGAAGAGCCCCAGCUGCUGUUCCUGCCCCACUUUGGGGGACUUUGUGAGAUUUCAAGGCCAUAUGGGCUGCCUCGAACUGUGGGCUGAGGAGAGGCUGGACUGGAGUGGGGAGACCAUUAGGAGAGUCCCAGGGAGGGAGACCGAGAGCCUGAUUCAGCAUGGAGACCAUGCGAGUGGAGUAGCUUCAAGAUGUAUCCAAGAUGAGGAAACUGAGGCAGAUGGGGUUGAGUGACUUACCCAAGUUUACACCACUUGUGUCUGAGGCAGCAUUUGAACUCAAGAAGAUGACCAUCUUCUUGCCUAGCACUCUGUGCAGUAUGGCAACAUGGAGCAGGCCAGAAGCUGUGUAGCUCACACCUUCAUUUUAUAAAGAAGGAAAACAAGGCCUCAAAACAUCAAGAAACUGGCACAAGACCUCCAAGUCAACUCAAUUCAAUGAGAUAAACAUUUAAAGAAUCUGCUAUGAGCCAGGCACUACGUGAAGCACUGGGGAUAGAAAUUUAAAAGAAAGAAAAGAAAAAAGACAAUCCUCGUCCUUAAGGGACUAAUGAAGGAAAACAACCCACAAAGGCAGCUGGAAGGGGCAGAGGACACCGGAGGGUACCCAGCAUGAGGGGAUCAUAUUCUGUGUAAUCAAAGUAAGUAGAGUUGCAGGUGCUGGAAAGUCCAAAUUCCUGCCCUCUCCAAAAGCCUCUAAUCAGAGAAGAGAGAACUGAGGAAAUUAGGGAAGUGGCGAGUAUCCAGAAUUGAGUUAAAUAGCAUGAAGAUGAGAUUUCAGGUGAUCAGGGAGAUGAGCAAUAGCAGGAGGAUUUGAACUCAGGUCCUUUGACUCCAAAUCCCUCAUUUUUUCCACCUCCUCCUGAAACCUCUUAUUUUCUGACUCCAAAGGGCUUUCACUUGCCCUCAGCUAGUUAUGGUCUAAUCCUCAUGAAACGCAGGAUGGUAGAAGUGGUAAGAACUUGACCGUGGAGAAAUUCUUCUUUGAGUUUCUGACUUCAAGAGAGGAUGCCUUCUUCAUGCAAGCAUGGGAGAGCACCAAGCAAUCCCUUUUCUAGCCCAGAAAGGAAAAUCUUAUGCAAAUAGCCAGGCUUGAAACAUGGGUUACACUUAGAUCAAGUUUCCCGAGCUUUGCCUUUUUGGUGUGAUCUUUAGGUUAGGAAUCAAAAGUGCAAAUGGAGUCUUUUCCCCCAAGUAUUCCCAGAAGAUUUUGGUUUGGAAGCAUCCUCUGCCACUAAGUGCCUGUAAAACCUCAGGUAAUCCAUUUCCCUUAUCUGGGCCUCAACUUCUUUCCCUGUAAAAUGAAGUGGUUGGACACAAUGAACUUCUAAGGUCCUUUCAGGCUCUAAAUCUUUCCAACGUGUUUCCUGAUAAGUCGACUACAAGAUAAAAUAUGAUUAAAUAAUCCCCUCCAGGAGACAGAUCUCCCUGGAUUUAGAAAUCAUAGUCUGUCCCAUCUCCAAAUGAGAAUCCUGUCAACAACAUCUCUUAGCAAGACGUCGUCCUGCCUUUUGCUUGGAGAUCUCCAGAGACGAAGAACUCACUACCCUUCAAAACAGACCAUUUCCAUUUUCUACAGCUUUGAUUAUUAGGAAGUUUUCUCUGUUGACAAGCCCAAAUAUGCCUCUUUGCCCUUCUCCUGGUACUUUACCAUGUUUUUGGUUCUGACCUGUGGGACCAAAGAGAACAAAUGUUAUCCCUCUUCUAUAUGGCUUAAAUAGCUCUUGAGCCCCCAAGUCUUCUCCAGACUGAAUGCGUCUAGUCCUAUGGCAUGAACUUGAAGCCUUUCACCAUGCUGACAUCCUUAUCUGGAUCCUUAUCUCCAGCUUAUCAGAAUGGGAUGCCUAGAAUUGAACACAAAACCCCAGAGGUGAUCUAACCAGCGUAGGCUCCUUCCCAAGCCGGCAGUAGUUUUUUUUGGCUGUCCUAUCAAUGCUGGCCACUAAAACCCUCAGAACUUCAGACAAACUCUCUCUCAAAGACUUCCUCCAUCUUAUCUUUGAGAAGUUGAAAUACAUUUUUGAACCCAAGUAUAAAUAAAAAUUUGUAUUUCUCCCCCCGUCA
Long non-coding RNA from Monodelphis domestica (gray short-tailed opossum), 2136 nucleotides. The record is from Ensembl. Lineage: Eukaryota; Metazoa; Chordata; Mammalia; Didelphimorphia; Didelphidae.